This 270-nucleotide ribosomal RNA is filed under the name uncultured archaeon. RNAcentral's name for it is "partial 16S ribosomal RNA". It matches the Rfam family "Archaeal small subunit ribosomal RNA", at positions 477 to 747 of the family's 1478-position model. The record is from RNAcentral.
CAGCACCUCAAGUGGUCAGGAUGAUUAUUGGGCCUAAAGCAUCCGUAGCCGGCGCUGUAAGUUUUCGGUUAAAUCUGUACGCUCAACGUACAGGCUGCCGGGAAUACUGCAGCGCUAGGGAGUGGGAGAGGUAGACGGUACUCGGUAGGAAGGGGUAAAAUCCUUUGAUCUAUUGAUGACCACCUGUGGCGAAGGCGGUCUACCAGAACACAUCCGACGGUGAGGGAUGAAAGCUGAGGGAGCAAACCGGAUUAGAUACCCGAGUAGUCC